RNAcentral lists this unclassified non-coding RNA (1993 nucleotides) under Hevea brasiliensis (rubber tree). Lineage: Eukaryota; Viridiplantae; Streptophyta; Magnoliopsida; Malpighiales; Euphorbiaceae. The record is from RNAcentral.
GUCGAGAUUAAACAUAGCUUUACUUCUUGCUGUUUCCCUAAAAUUCAGAAAAGAGUUAUAUAAACAAAAUGGUAAUCAUCAACAGUUAGCAAUGAUAGUACAUAAAGUUCAGCCCCCACAGAACUACUGACUCAGAGCUAUUUUUGUUGCUCUGUUCUCUACAAGAACCAGAUUAGCACUUGAAUUUUAAAAAACAGAGACUAUCAAGUGGCUAGAACAUGAUCAAGGCAUUAGGUGUAAAUGUUAAGAUUGUUCUAGCAAAUUUUCUAAAUAUAAGUUCAAGAUGUAUCUUCCCGUGGACAAAACAUCAAGCCUCUUCUCACUGGAUUCAUACUUCCCCUUGCGGAGCUGGUACCGAUGAGUGACUGCUGCAAUGGUAUAUGCUUGCCCUUCAAUCGUCACACUCUCCCCACAUUGCAAGUUCUGCUACACAAGGAACAACAGGAGCAAAACAUGAGAAAAAUAAUAAUAGUAAUGAUGCAUUUUUUUUUUCCAAUUUAAACAUGUUGGGCCUACCUAGCCCUUUGAAUGAAUGAACAAAAUAACACAAACAAGAUGACAGUUGGAUCGUCCAAGGUUUUUGUUUGUGGCAAGCAUAGAAUACAAGAGAAGGGUCUGCAUUUCAUUCUGUAAUCCAAAAUCAUUGAAAACCAGCACCUAGAAUCAGCAAAGGACAAACCAAUAUAUAUUUAAUAAUUGCAGAACCCAUAUCUUCAAACUAUAAUAUGAUCUGCAAACAACAAUGUCUUCAAACGUUUCCCAACCCUAAUCUAUCAAGUUGUAAUGUCUUCAAUUACAGGAAUCUAUUUGGGAUGCCCCCAGCUGUGGAAUCCUGGACAGAAAGAACAUAUAUCCUAAUCUUUUUUUCCAACUAUUUUUCCUUUACCUUUUAAGUAGGUCUUAUAUUCUCAAACAGGUACUUAAAUAGUAUGUUGGAGUUGGAAUUUUUCUAUUUUUUGCAGCCUCCAACUUUCUUUUUACGGUUGCUUUCUUCACAGUUAGUGUCAUUCACACUUCAGUUUAAGUUCUCUCACUCUUGUUCUGUAAAAGGAAUGCCAUUACCUUAGCCUUCAAAGUGCAAUUAUGACUGCAGUACGAGGAACUUUCUUAGAGUAUAUCAAGAUCAGCAAUUUGUGCAGUGUACCUAUAGAAGUGGAAACAAGUGAGGCCCUAGGAUGAACACAAGUACCUCUCUCCAACAAUCGACUAUCUCCAACCAUUUCUCCUUGCCGGAAGCGCUCUCCAGCCUGCCUGUGCGUGAAAGACUUUGCCAAAAAGGUUAUGACAAUUGACACAUCUUGUCCAUAUUGUGGUUUAAUCAAAAAAUUAUAGCCAGUACUUUAGCCAAAAUAGUCUAAAGUCAUUCCCUUCUUUCCAAUUUCAUGAGUAGCAUGCCUCCUGGUACAUUUAGUUUGCUACUUUUGGAAGAUCUAAAUUACUGAGUGAAAAUGAUCAAUUUUGCAGACUGGGGAUUUUUCUUCUUUGGUGCAUUUGGAAAGCGAGAAAUGGCAUUGUCUUCAAAAAAAAAAAAAAACAUUGGCAUCCAACCCAAAUAAUAACUAAAGCUUGUUGAGACUCCAUGAUCAUCAAGAGGUUUGACUUUUGAGCUGUUCAAAUAGAUGCACAAACAUUAAGGGAGGUCUGAAUGUUACUUCAGAGCCUUGUUUUUUAUGAGUGAUAGUGGAAUCCAACAGCCAGUGCCAGGUUAUGGUUCAACCCAUCAAUAACAAUUUAGAUGACAAUGAAUUGCAAGCUUCCCUGUCUGAUAUUCGUGAAACUAAAUAGAAGGUUAGGGUUGAGAAAGUAUAUUUUGUGAAAAGUUGUAAUAAUGUAGCUCAGGUGUUGGAACAUUCUGGGAUUAUGGUGUUUAAUUGUUGCACUUGGAUUGAAACAGCCCCCACCCCCCUUUCACCACUGGCAUGAACUUACCUUGCAUGAUAUUUCUUCUCAGUAACUUACAUCUCUGUUUUUACGAAGCCAAAAAAAAAAAAAA